AGGAUGAACGCUAGCGGCAGGCCUAACACAUGCAAGUCGAGGGCAUCGCGGUGCAGCAAUGCACUGGCGGCGACCGGCGUACGGGUGCGUAACGCGUAUGCAACCUGCCCCGCACCGGGGGAUAGCCCGCCGAAAGGCGGAUUAAUACCCCAUGGUCCCGGGGGCCCGCAUGGGCAUCCGGGUAAAGCCUUGGCGGUGCGGGAUGGGCAUGCGUGCCAUUAGCUGGCUGGUGGGGUAACGGCCCACCAGGGGCAACGAUGGCUAGGGGGUCUGAGAGGAUGGUCCCCCACACUGGUACUGAGACACGGACCAGACUCCUACGGGAGGCAGCAGUGAGGAAUAUUGGUCAAUGGGCGGAAGCCUGAACCAGCCAUGCCGCGUGCGGGAUGAAGGCCCUACGGGUUGUAAACCGCUUUUCCCCGGGAAGAAUAAGCCCCCCGCGGGGGGUGAUGCCGGUACCGGGGGAAUAAGGAUCGGCUAACUCCGUG
This 488-nucleotide ribosomal RNA is filed under the name uncultured bacterium. RNAcentral's name for it is "bacterial SSU rRNA". It matches the Rfam family "Bacterial small subunit ribosomal RNA", at positions 26 to 507 of the family's 1533-position model. The record is from RNAcentral.